This 460-nucleotide ribosomal RNA is filed under the name Providencia stuartii. RNAcentral's name for it is "Bacterial small subunit ribosomal RNA". It matches the Rfam family "Bacterial small subunit ribosomal RNA", at positions 534 to 996 of the family's 1533-position model. Lineage: Bacteria; Pseudomonadati; Pseudomonadota; Gammaproteobacteria; Enterobacterales; Morganellaceae. The record is from Rfam by way of RNAcentral.
GCAAGCGUUAAUCGGAAUUACUGGGCGUAAAGCGCACGCAGGCGGUUGAUUAAGUUAGAUGUGAAAUCCCCGGGCUUAACCUGGGAAUGGCAUCUAAGACUGGUCAGCUAGAGUCUUGUAGAGGGGGUAGAAUUCCAUGUGUAGCGGUGAAAUGCGUAGAGAUGUGGAGGAAUACCGGUGGCGAAGGCGGCCCCCUGGACAAAGACUGACGCUCAGGUGCGAAAGCGUGGGAGCAAACAGGAUUAGAUACCCUGGUAGUCCACGCUGUAAACGAUGUCGAUUUGGAGGUUGUGCCCUUGAGGCGUGGCUUCCGGAGCUAACGCGUUAAAUCGACCGCCUGGGGAGUACGGCCGCAAGGUUAAAACUCAAAUGAAUUGACGGGGGCCCGCACAAGCGGUGGAGCAUGUGGUUUAAUUCGAUGCAACGCGAAGAACCUUACCUAUCUUGACAUCCAGAGAAU